This 60-nucleotide transfer RNA is filed under the name Porella cordaeana. Its description in RNAcentral is "partial tRNA-Leu". The record is from RNAcentral. Lineage: Eukaryota; Viridiplantae; Streptophyta; Jungermanniopsida; Porellales; Porellaceae.
GCUACGGACUAAGAAAAUCCGUUGGCUUUAUAGACCAUGAGGGUUCAAGUCCCUCUACCC